AAUAGAUACCCCGGUAGUCCACGCCGUAAACGAUGAGUGCUAAGUGUUGGGGGGUUUCCGCCCCUCAGUGCUGCAGCUAACGCAUUAAGCACUCCGCCUGGGGAGUACGGCCGCAAGACUGAAACUCAAAGGAAUUGACGGGGGCCCGCACAAGCGGUGGAGCAUGUGGUUUAAUUCGAAGCAACGCGAAGAACCUUACCAGGUCUUGACAUCCCGGUGACCACUAUGGAGACAUAGUUUCCCCUUCGGGGGCAACGGUGACAGGUGGUGCAUGGUUGUCGUCAGCUCGUGUCGUGAGAUGUUGGGUUAAGUCCCGCAACGAGCGCAACCCUUAUUCUUAGUUGCCAUCAUUCAGUUGGGCACUCUAAGGAGACUGCCGGUGAUAAACCGGAGGAAGGUGGGGAUGACGUCAAAUCAUCAUGCCCCUUAUGACCUGGGCUACACACGUGCUACAAUGGACGGUACAAACGGUUGCCAACCCGCGAGGGGAGCUAAUCCGAUAAAACCGUUCUCAGUUCGGAUUGUAGGCUGCAACUCGCCUACA
This 544-nucleotide ribosomal RNA is filed under the name uncultured bacterium. RNAcentral's name for it is "bacterial SSU rRNA". It matches the Rfam family "Bacterial small subunit ribosomal RNA", at positions 777 to 1320 of the family's 1533-position model. The record is from RNAcentral.